CGGGGCGUGGCGCAGUCCGGUAGCGUGCUUGAAUGGGGUUCAAGAGGUCGACGGUUCAAAUCCGUCCGCCCCGA
Molecule: transfer RNA, 74 nt
Filed under: Pseudomonadota bacterium
Lineage: Bacteria; Pseudomonadati; Pseudomonadota
Also listed under: 3 other names
Description: tRNA-Pro
Rfam family: tRNA
About the family: Transfer RNA (tRNA) molecules are approximately 80 nucleotides in length. Their secondary structure includes four short double-helical elements and three loops (D, anti-codon, and T loops).
Source: RNAcentral